This 840-nucleotide ribosomal RNA is filed under the name Cohnella sp. 3171. RNAcentral's name for it is "bacterial SSU rRNA". It matches the Rfam family "Bacterial small subunit ribosomal RNA", at positions 45 to 870 of the family's 1533-position model. The record is from RNAcentral. Lineage: Bacteria; Bacillati; Bacillota; Bacilli; Caryophanales; Paenibacillaceae.
UGCUAUACAUGCAGUCGAGCGGAGUGAUUUAGGAGCUUGCUCCUGAAUCGCUUAGCGGCGGACGGGUGAGUAACACGUAGGCAACCUGCCCCCUAGAUCGGGAUAACAUUCGGAAACGAAUGCUAAGACCGGAUAGACAGUUUUCUCGCAUGAGAGAAUUGGGAAACACGGAGCAAUCUGUGGCUAGGGGAUGGGCCUGCGGCGCAUUAGCUAGUUGGUGGGGUAACGGCUCACCAAGGCGACGAUGCGUAGCCGACCUGAGAGGGUGAACGGCCACACUGGGACUGAGACACGGCCCAGACUCCUACGGGAGGCAGCAGUAGGGAAUCUUCCACAAUGGGCGAAAGCCUGAUGGAGCAACGCCGCGUGAGUGAGGAAGGCUUUCGGGUCGUAAAGCUCUGUUGCCAGGGAAGAAUAAGGAUAUGUUAACUGCAUAUUCGAUGACGGUACCUGAGAAGAAAGCCCCGGCUAACUACGUGCCAGCAGCCGCGGUAAUACGUAGGGGGCAAGCGUUGUCCGGAAUUAUUGGGCGUAAAGCGCGCGCAGGCGGUUCUUUAAGUCUGGUGUCUAAGUGCGGGGCUCAACCCCGUGAUGCACUGGAAACUGGAGGACUUGAGUGCAGAAGAGGAGAGCGGAAUUCCACGUGUAGCGGUGAAAUGCGUAGAGAUGUGGAGGAACACCAGUGGCGAAGGCGGCUCUCUGGACUGUAACUGACGCUGAGGCGCGAAAGCGUGGGGAGCAAACAGGAUUAGAUACCCUGGUAGUCCACGCCGUAAACGAUGAGUGCUAGGUGUUGGGGUAUCAUGCCCUCGGUGCCGAAGUUAACACAUUAAGCACUCC